AGAGUUUGAUCCUGGCUCAGAACGAACGCUGGCGGCGUGGCUAAGGCAUGCAAGUCGAACGGACCCCUGGAUGGGUAACUUGAAAGGGAGUCAGUGGCGAACGGGUGAGUAAUGAAUGGGUAACGUCCCCCGGACUCAGGGAUAGCGGCGGGCCGCAAGGUCCUUUGCGAAAGUGUCGGUAAUACCUGAUGACCCCGCGUGACCGCAUGGUCGUGUGGGCAAAGCUCCGGCGGUCUGGGUUCGGCCCAUUUCCUAUCAGCUAGUUGGUGAGGUAAUGGCUCACCAAGGCUUCGACGGGUACCGGGUGUGAGAGCAUGACCCGGCACAUCGGAACUGAGACACGGUCCGGACACCUACGGGUGGCUGCAGCAACGAAUAUUCCGCAAUGGGCGAAAGCCUGACGGAGCGACGCCGCGUGCAGGAUGAAGUCCCUCGGGAUGUAAACUGCUGUCGGGGGUCAGAAAUCACUGAUCAACCCCACAGGAAGCCAUGGCUAACUCUGUGCCAGCAGCCGCGGUAAUACAGAGAUGGCAAGCGUUGUUCGGAAUCACUGGGCUUAAAGCGCGUGUAGGCGGGGCGGAAGGCGCCUUGUGAAAGCCCCCGGCUCAACCGGGGAACUGCUUGGCGAACCGACGCUCUUGAGGCAGGUAGAGGUCACUGGAACCAUAGGCGGAGCGGUGAAAUGCGUAGAGAUCUAUGGGAACGCCGGUGGCGAAAGCGAGUGACUGGGCCUGAUCUGACGCUGAGACGCGAAAGCGUGGGUAGCAAACAGGAUUAGAUACCCUGGUAGUCCACGCCGUAAACGAUGCGCACUAGGUAUGAGCGGUCUGACGCCGCUCGUGCCGAAACAAAAGCGUUAAGUGCGCCGCCUGGGGAGUACGGCCGCAAGGCUAAAACUCAAAGGAAUUGACGGG
RNAcentral lists this ribosomal RNA (914 nucleotides) under uncultured bacterium. RNAcentral describes it as "bacterial SSU rRNA". It matches the Rfam family "Bacterial small subunit ribosomal RNA", at positions 8 to 917 of the family's 1533-position model. The record is from RNAcentral.